AGAUUGAACGCUGGCGGCGUGCUUUACACAUGCAAGUCGAACGGUAACGCGGGGGCAACCCUGGCGACGAGUGGCGAACGGGUGAGUAAUACAUCGGAACGUGCCCAGUAGUGGGGGAUAGCUCGGCGAAAGCCGGAUUAAUACCGCAUACGACCUACGGGUGAAAGCGGGGGAUCGCAAGACCUCGCGCUAUUGGAGCGGCCGAUGGCAGAUUAGCUUGUUGGUGAGGUAAAAGCUCACCAAGGCGACGAUCUGUAGCUGGUCUGAGGGGACGACCAGCCACACUGGGACUGAGACACGGCCCAGACUCCUACGGGAGGCAGCAGUGGGGAAUAUUGGACAAUGGGCGAAAGCCUGAUCCAGCCAUGCCGCGUGUGUGAAGGAGGUCUUCGGAUUGUAAAGCACUUUAAGUGGAGGAAGGUUGUAACUUAAUACGUUGACUAACUUUGACGUUACCGACAGAAUAAGCACCGGCUAACUUCGCGCCAGCAGCCGCGGUAA
This 501-nucleotide ribosomal RNA is filed under the name uncultured soil bacterium. RNAcentral describes it as "bacterial SSU rRNA". It matches the Rfam family "Bacterial small subunit ribosomal RNA", at positions 26 to 523 of the family's 1533-position model. The record is from RNAcentral.